AUUGAACGCUGGCGGCAGGCCUAACACAUGCAAGUCGAGCGGAUGAAGGGAGCUUGCUCCUGGAUUCAGCGGCGGACGGGUGAGUAAUGCCUAGGAAUCUGCCUGGUAGUGGGGGAUAACGUCCGGAAACGGGCGCUAAUACCGCAUACGUCCUGAGGGAGAAAGUGGGGGAUCUUCGGACCUCACGCUAUCAGAUGAGCCUAGGUCGGAUUAGCUAGUUGGUGGGGUAAAGGCCUACCAAGGCGACGAUCCGUAACUGGUCUGAGAGGAUGAUCAGUCACACUGGAACUGAGACACGGUCCAGACUCCUACGGGAGGCAGCAGUGGGGAAUAUUGGACAAAGGGCGAAAGUCUGAUCCAGCCAUGCCGCGUGUGUGAAGAAGGUCUUCGGAUUGUAAAGCACUUUAAGUUGGGAGGAAGGGCAGUAAGUUAAUACCUUGCUGUUUUGACGUUACCAACAGAAUAAGCACCGGCUAACUUCGUG
Molecule: ribosomal RNA, 484 nt
Filed under: uncultured bacterium
Lineage: Bacteria
Description: partial 16S ribosomal RNA
Rfam family: Bacterial small subunit ribosomal RNA
Source: RNAcentral